Molecule: long non-coding RNA, 1582 nt
Organism: Hippoglossus stenolepis (Pacific halibut)
Lineage: Eukaryota; Metazoa; Chordata; Actinopteri; Pleuronectiformes; Pleuronectidae
Exons: 6
Source: RefSeq, a predicted model, not a curated record
UCACCUUUAGCAGGGUGCUAAGUAGCAUUAGCUUAAAAUGAUAUUAGCUGCACAUGUUUAAGUUUAUGUGGCAACACUUUUACAAAGUCUGAUACAAGAUGGCGUCGGGAGAACACACCUGCUCUCGCGCUCUGAUUGGAGGGGGCGGACGCACGUGGACCAACAUGUUUGCGCUCAGGAAGAAGAACACGUGUUUCUAUUUGGACUUUUAUUAAUGUUAACUUCUCAGGACCCCACAUCACGGACCCAUCAGCUUCCUGUCAUCACCAAAGGUUAAACGCCAGACAGGCCUCUCUGCUGUUUGUCCAAACCCUCCCUGUGAACCUGGAGUCGACCUCCGACGCUCCAUUACUCUGCAGACAAGAGACGAAGAGGAGGAGGAAGAGAUGGAGGGAGAUACAAAGGUACGAGGAAGGCAGAGAAAAAGGCAAACGAAAAGAGAAACCGACACAAACACUUAAUAAUUUCUUUUCCCUUGGAGUGGACGGCCUCAGCGCUCCAAUUCAUCUUCGUUCUCCUCACAGCGGUGUGUUCAGAGAAGGUCAAAACCCGGAAAAUAGGCUACACACCAGGCAUUUUGUCACCAGACACCCUUCACCUGCCUCCCAACGCCGAGGAGCCGCACACAACUGGGACACGGCCGCAGCCAAAAAUACAUCAGGUGGAGCAGAUCAUCAGCAGCAGCACUUCACGCAUUUUCACCACAUUCGUUCUGCAUUUGUUGUCCUUUGGGGGGAAAAAAGCAAAAGACCGGGACGAGGUGACAUUUUGUGGCUCGGAGUUUGUGUUUGUUCACAUGUGAAGCGGAGCUGAAGACACGUGUCCUUCACAUUAACUCCUGGUUUAAGCUCAUUUAGUUCAGUUCACGAUUCACAGAGCAAAGUCAAAAAGGUACAAUCCAAACAAUACAAGAAGCAGAAGAACCACGAGGCUGCAUCCUGCGGAGGCUGCGUAGAUUUCAGCUCAUCACAGACGGAAUGAAGCGUCGGUGGAGUCGAGCGGUGCAGGGAGCGUCGGGUCAAAUUUCCAAACGCACCCUGAGCUCCGAGCCCCGUGGAGACGACAGCGCAACGACACAAAUGGCUGCGUGGCAUUUAGAGCAGAAAGUUACUUCUUCUGCGCUGACCCGCUAAGUCGAGCUUUACGAGCGGAACCAGGAGAGAGACGAGUCGAGCUUUUGAAAUGAGCUACUGUACGAGUGCGGUAGAGGAAACGCUUGUCGUUACAUUGAUGACGAUGACUGAAGUAAGUGGAGGUAAGACAGAGAAGAGCAGCAGCUCAUGUACAACAAGGGAUUGGUUAAGAAACUGUUCGGAGGUGAGCUGUCGCUCCAAACUCUCCCUCAUCUCUCGUUCCCUGUAGAGCUCCAUCUUCAGCUCCCUCUUCUCCGCCUGGAUCUGUUUGUCCUGCACCCGAGCGUUCUCCACCGCCACCUUCAACAGACCCUGAGGGCAGAGAAAGGACCGUUUACAACAAAAUGCUAAAGUAUAUGAGUGGAAAACAACUUAAUUUACAGCUGAAAUCAAGGAUUUAGCUUCUUUAUGACGUCUGGUUUGAUUAUUAUAUCCACAAUAAGGAGCAU